Molecule: long non-coding RNA, 312 nt
Filed under: Nicotiana benthamiana
Lineage: Eukaryota; Viridiplantae; Streptophyta; Magnoliopsida; Solanales; Solanaceae
Description: long non-coding RNA (NBEN_LNC007887)
Source: RNAcentral
ACCUGAAGUCCUUACAGCUGCAUCGUUGAAGCGCUUGUAUGUUGAAAAUAGGCCAUAUUUGGUUGGUGGCCACAGCCAACAUGAGCAAUUGAGUGAUACAUUAUCUUCCUCAUUUGCUGGUUCCAAAUACACCGUUGACCUUCAAAAGCUAAAGUGUUCGUUGCUUGCAUCUUCCUCAUUUUCUGGUUCCAAAUACACCGUUGACCUUCAAAAGCUAAAGUGUUCAUUGCUUGAUGUAUCAAGGAGCAUACUUUCCAUGGUUGAGAAAUACAACUACAUGAAAGAAACCUUUAGAAAAAGGCUGGCAUUUGG